Molecule: ribosomal RNA, 286 nt
Filed under: uncultured Rickettsia sp.
Lineage: Bacteria; Pseudomonadati; Pseudomonadota; Alphaproteobacteria; Rickettsiales; Rickettsiaceae
Description: partial 16S ribosomal RNA
Rfam family: Bacterial small subunit ribosomal RNA
Source: RNAcentral
GAACGCUAUCGGUAUGCUUAACACAUGCAAGUCGAACGGACUAAUUGGAGCUUGCUCCAAUUAGUUAGUGGCAGACGGGUGAGUAACACGUGGGAAUCUACCCAUCAGUACGGAAUAACUUUUAGAAAUAAAAGCUAAUACCGCAUAUUCUCUACGGAGGAAAGAUUUAUCGCUGAUGGAUGAGCCCGCGUCAGAUUAGGUAGUUGGUGAGGUAAUGGCUCACCAAGCCGACGAUCUGUAGCUGGUCUGAGAGGAUGAUCAGCCACACUGGGACUGAGACACGGCC